AGAAUCAACGCUGGCGGCGUGCCUAACACAUGCAAGUCGAACGCGAAAGGGGCUUCGGCUCUGAGUAGAGUGGCGAACGGGUGAGUAACACGUGGGUGAUCUACCUUCGAGCGGGGGAUAACGUUCCGAAAGGGACGCUAAUACCGCAUGACGUCCUGGGUUUGAAGACCUGGAGACCAAAGCUAGGGACCGCAAGGCCUGGCACUUGAAGAGGAGCCCGCGUCCGAUUAGCUAGUUGGCGGGUAACGGCCCACCAAGGCGACGAUC
This 267-nucleotide ribosomal RNA is filed under the name uncultured bacterium. RNAcentral describes it as "partial small subunit ribosomal RNA". It matches the Rfam family "Bacterial small subunit ribosomal RNA", at positions 26 to 281 of the family's 1533-position model. The record is from RNAcentral.